This 528-nucleotide ribosomal RNA is filed under the name Cronobacter sakazakii. RNAcentral describes it as "bacterial SSU rRNA". It matches the Rfam family "Bacterial small subunit ribosomal RNA", at positions 1 to 522 of the family's 1533-position model. Lineage: Bacteria; Pseudomonadati; Pseudomonadota; Gammaproteobacteria; Enterobacterales; Enterobacteriaceae. The record is from RNAcentral.
UGGAGAGUUUGAUCCUGGCUCAGAUUGAACGCUGGCGGCAGGCCUAACACAUGCAAGUCGAACGGUAACAGGGAGCAGCUUGCUGCUCUGCUGACGAGUGGCGGACGGGUGAGUAAUGUCUGGGAAACUGCCUGAUGGAGGGGGAUAACUACUGGAAACGGUAGCUAAUACCGCAUAACGUCUACGGACCAAAGUGGGGGACCUUCGGGCCUCAUGCCAUCAGAUGUGCCCAGAUGGGAUUAGCUAGUAGGUGGGGUAACGGCUCACCUAGGCGACGAUCCCUAGCUGGUCUGAGAGGAUGACCAGCCACACUGGAACUGAGACACGGUCCAGACUCCUACGGGAGGCAGCAGUGGGGAAUAUUGCACAAUGGGCGCAAGCCUGAUGCAGCCAUGCCGCGUGUAUGAAGAAGGCCUUCGGGUUGUAAAGUACUUUCAGCGGGGAGGAAGGCGUUGUGGUUAAUAACCGCAGCAAUUGACGUUACCCGCAGAAGAAGCACCGGCUAACUCCGUGCCAGCAGCCGCGGUA